UGGGGAAUAUUGCACAAUGGGGGAAACCCUGAUGCAGCGACGCCGCGUGAACGAAGAAGGUAUUCGUAUCGUAAAGUUCUGUCCUAUGGGAAGAUAAUGACAGUACCAUAGAAGAAAGCUCCGGCUAAAUACGUGCCAGCAGCCGCGGUAAUACGUAUGGAGCGAGCGUUGUCCGGAAUUAUUGGGCGUAAAGGGUACGCAGGCGGUUUAAUAAGUCGAAUGUUAAAGAUCGGGGCUCAACCCCGCAAAGCAUUGGAAACUGAUAAACUUGAGUAGUGGAGAGGAAAGUGGAAUUCCUGGUGUAGUGGUGAAAUACGUAGAUAUUAGGAGGAAUACCAGUAGCGAAGGCGACUUUCUGGACACAAACUGACGCUGAGGUACGAAAGCGUGGGGAGCAAACAGG
This 403-nucleotide ribosomal RNA is filed under the name bacterium. RNAcentral describes it as "partial 16S ribosomal RNA". It matches the Rfam family "Bacterial small subunit ribosomal RNA", at positions 355 to 776 of the family's 1533-position model. The record is from RNAcentral.